This 892-nucleotide ribosomal RNA is filed under the name Ligilactobacillus salivarius. Its description in RNAcentral is "bacterial SSU rRNA". It matches the Rfam family "Bacterial small subunit ribosomal RNA", at positions 30 to 889 of the family's 1533-position model. Lineage: Bacteria; Bacillati; Bacillota; Bacilli; Lactobacillales; Lactobacillaceae. The record is from RNAcentral.
CGAGACGCUGGCGGCGUGCCUAAUACAUGCAAGUCGAACGAAACUUUCUUACACCGAAUGCUUGCAUUCACCGUAAGAAGUUGAGUGGCGGACGGGUGAGUAACACGUGGGUAACCUGCCUAAAAGAAGGGGAUAACACUUGGAAACAGGUGCUAAUACCGUAUAUCUCUAAGGAUCGCAUGAUCCUUAGAUGAAAGAUGGUUCUGCUAUCGCUUUUAGAUGGACCCGCGGCGUAUUAACUAGUUGGUGGGGUAACGGCCUACCAAGGUGAUGAUACGUAGCCGAACUGAGAGGUUGAUCGGCCACAUUGGGACUGAGACACGGCCCAAACUCCUACGGGAGGCAGCAGUAGGGAAUCUUCCACAAUGGACGCAAGUCUGAUGGAGCAACGCCGCGUGAGUGAAGAAGGUCUUCGGAUCGUAAAACUCUGUUGUUAGAGAAGAACACGAGUGAGAGUAACUGUUCAUUCGAUGACGGUAUCUAACCAGCAAGUCACGGCUAACUACGUGCCAGCAGCCGCGGUAAUACGUAGGUGGCAAGCGUUGUCCGGAUUUAUUGGGCGUAAAGGGAACGCAGGCGGUCUUUUAAGUCUGAUGUGAAAGCCUUCGGCUUAACCGGAGUAGUGCAUUGGAAACUGGAAGACUUGAGUGCAGAAGAGGAGAGUGGAACUCCAUGUGUAGCGGUGAAAUGCGUAGAUAUAUGGAAGAACACCAGUGGCGAAAGCGGCUCUCUGGUCUGUAACUGACGCUGAGGUUCGAAAGCGUGGGUAGCAAACAGGAUUAGAUACCCUGGUAGUCCACGCCGUAAACGAUGAAUGCUAGGUGUUGGAGGGUUUCCGCCCUUCAGUGCCGCAGCUAACGCAAUAAGCAUUCCGCCUGGGGAGUACGACCGC